Molecule: long non-coding RNA, 516 nt
Filed under: Sinocyclocheilus grahami
Lineage: Eukaryota; Metazoa; Chordata; Actinopteri; Cypriniformes; Cyprinidae
Description: lncRNA (ENSSGRG00000001193.1)
Source: RNAcentral
UGCAAAGUAAUGCCAACCCUCCUGCGGUCCACAGGUGGUUCAAGAAGAGAGCAGAUGUAGAGGAAGAACUGGGCAUCUCACACGUGCUUUCCUUCACUGCGGCCCAAGAGAACACUGGGGAAUACAUUUGUGAGGCACAGAAUCAAUACGGUGCAAUGAACUCCACAAACCUACAGAUCACCGUCAUAGGCAUAUCCUUCACUGCUUUCCUCUCAAUUUUGACAGCUUUAUCAUUGCUCAUAUUUGCACUUCUUGCACUUCUUAUUCUUAUGAUUUGCAGGAGGUAGGAUCUUGCUAGAUUUCUUUUUUAAAUUAUGUGUCCUAUACAUUAUUGGAGAUAAUGUUUUCUUGUUUUGGUAUAUGCAGGUGGAAAGAGCCAGUCAGAAGUGAAACAAGCCAAGAUCAGAACAUUUAUAGCAAUGUGUCCGCAAGUGCAGUGAAAAGCGAGCAGCUCCAAUCAAAGCCAUGUGAAGAUGAGAACACCAGCACCAUUAACCCUGAACACACGUUCAAACA